UCUACGUUGUUCCUCGGGACAGGAGAAGAAUGUGGCACUGAUUGGAGGAUCCCUAUUUGAGUUGCUUGGAUAAAAGCAAGAGGAAGGAGCGAGUUCACACAUGAAAAUUCUGGGAAACAAGUGGCAGUAUCUGUGUAAGGUCUUUGGCCAAAAGGCGUGAUUCUUUUUAGAAAUCAAUGGGAGAGUGGAGCAAUUUCUCCAGUCGGACUUUGAAGAGCAGAGUUUCAGUGGUGAGAUGCAGAAAGUGUAUUUAAGAAAGCCAAUUCUCUAUUAGCAACAAUACAACCAUUAGAGACAUCGUUCCUUCUGAAGACAGCAAAGAUGGGAGUAACCGUCCUCAGGGUUUCCAAUGCUACUCUCCAUCUGUAUUUCAUCUUCGCCACUUCUUCCCAUGUUUGAAACUCGCCUGGGAGUUUGCCUGUUGCUAUCUUCUCAUGUUCUGAAAUCCAGUAACAAAAGGCAUCCCACUAUCAGUCCCUUUUGUUCAAUUAUAUUAUAUAUAUGGAACUAUAUAUACCAUUUUACCGCAGGACAAUUUGUUCCAAAGGAAAAUAGAUUCUUGAACAGGAUGGAUAUAUGUACUUAGAAAGUUUUGUU
This is a long non-coding RNA of Vitis riparia (riverbank grape), 597 nucleotides long. RefSeq lists it as uncharacterized. Lineage: Eukaryota; Viridiplantae; Streptophyta; Magnoliopsida; Vitales; Vitaceae. The record is from RefSeq and is a predicted model, not a curated record. The transcript has 2 exons.